UACGUAGGGGGCUAGCGUUGUCCGGAUUUAUUGGGCGUAAAGAGCGUGUAGGCGGCCAUACAGGUCAGCUGUGAAAACUCGAGGCUCAACCUCGAGACGUCGGUUGAAACCGUAUGGCUAGAGUCCGGAAGAGGAGAGUGGAAUUCCCGGUGUAGCGGUGAAAUGCGCAGAUAUCGGGAAGAACACCCGUGGCGAAGGCGGCUCUCUGGGACGGUACUGACGCUGAGACGCGAAAGCGUGGGGAGCAAACAGG
Molecule: ribosomal RNA, 253 nt
Filed under: uncultured bacterium
Lineage: Bacteria
Description: partial 16S ribosomal RNA
Rfam family: Bacterial small subunit ribosomal RNA
Source: RNAcentral